GGAAGGUACAGAGUANCGUUAAACCUCUUUUGUCAGGGAACAAAGGCGGGGACGUGUCCCCCGGUAUGAGUGUACCUGAAGAAAAAGCAUCGGCUAACUCCGUGCC
This 106-nucleotide ribosomal RNA is filed under the name uncultured bacterium. RNAcentral's name for it is "partial 16S ribosomal RNA". The record is from RNAcentral.